AAGUCGAGGGGCAGCGCGGUAGCAAUACUGGCGGCGACCGGCAAACGGGUGCGGAACACGUACGCAACCUUCCUCUAAGCGGGAGAUAGCCCGGAGAAAUCCGGAUUAAUACCCCAUAGGAUUGUGGAUUGGCAUCAAUCAGCAAUUAAAGAUUUAUCACUUAGAGAUGGGCGUGCGUCUGAUUAGGUAGUUGGUGAGGUAACGGCUCACCAAGCCGACGAUCAGUAACUGGCGUGAGAGCGCGACCAGUCACACGGGCACUGAGACACGGGCCCGACCCCUACGGGAGGCAGCAGUAAGGAAUAUUGGUCAAUGGACGGAAGUCUGAACCAGCCAUGCCGCGUGGAGGAUGAAGGUCCUCUGGAUUGUAAACUUCUUUUAUCUGGGAAGAAAUGCUUUUUUUCUAAAGAGCUUGACGGUACCAGAUGAAUAAGCACCGGCUAACUCCGUGCCAGCAGCCGCGGUAAUACGGAGGGUGCAAGCGUUAUCCGGAUUCACUGGGUUUAAAGGGUGCGUAGGCGGAUUAGAAAGUCCGUUGUGAAAUCUCUGAGCUUAACUCGGAAAUUGCGGUGGAUACUAUUAGUCUUGAAUACUGUGGAGGUUAGCGGAAUAUGUCAUGUAGCGGUGAAAUGCAUAGAUAUGACAUAGAACACCAAUUGCGAAGGCAGCUGGCUACACAGAUAUUGACGCUGAGGCACGAAAGCGUGGGGAUCAAACAGGAUUAGAUACCCUGGUAGUCCACGCCCUAAACGAU
RNAcentral lists this ribosomal RNA (754 nucleotides) under uncultured bacterium. RNAcentral's name for it is "bacterial SSU rRNA". It matches the Rfam family "Bacterial small subunit ribosomal RNA", at positions 59 to 810 of the family's 1533-position model. The record is from RNAcentral.